UUUUCUGUUGUUGAUGCUUCUUCGGUGGCUGAGGUGCAGUGCAUGUCGGAAGAUAGUUUUUUAAAGCAGUGUUCAUUCUCCGCUCGCCAUUUUAAUGAAUAUAGAAUUUCAUCUCGUCUAUACCUGCACAGAAGUAGUGACACACCGCGUUCAUCAUUCAUGUUGAGCAGGCUCGACUCUAAAAGGGCGAAGGAAAACUUUGCAAUACCGCUCUCUGUUUAUUAAAAGCUUUGUACUACUAAAUGCAUUGAAUGUCGUCUGUCCCCGUACAAAAACGACAGUACGAGGAAUACAACGCGUUCAUUCAAAAUAUACUAAACAAGGCUACAACACGAAACGUCACCAUUCCGCAAGGUUAAUUCCCUUCAGCGGAGUGCGCUCCGGUGCGGACUUCACAGAAGGGCGAAUUGUGAGACACAAAGUUAGAAAUGGGACACCCUGCGCCCAUGCAGACUCCUGUGUGCAUACUGGAACACGGCCAUAGAAGUUCUCCUUCAGAGGCAAAGAGCAAUGAACCAGAAGGAGAUCUUGGCAUGCUUUACGGAUCCAUCUUCCGAAGACACCACAUCACCCUCAUCAACUCUAGUAUCAUUAGCUUAGAAUGUAACUCCAACUGCACAGUGCACAACGGAAGGCCUUUGCAAAAGUGGUUAAGUGUGAUGGGAGAAACGCCGCCACCAUUCACACCCACUGGUAAACUGCAGAGGAGAGAAGUGGAUCCCACGCAGAGAGCUCUGUGGACACACAUCACAAACAUAUGGCAUUGCCAGACUUAAUGGCUCUUUAAUGGCAUUUAAGUGGCAAUAUUAAAAUGAUGGGGCUUUUACUAAAUUACCCAACAAGAAAAUAAAUAAAUAAAGGUCUGAGGAAAGGAUGAUAA
Long non-coding RNA from Lepisosteus oculatus (spotted gar), 880 nucleotides. RefSeq lists it as uncharacterized. The record is from RefSeq and is a predicted model, not a curated record. NCBI's taxonomy places the organism in Eukaryota, Metazoa, Chordata, Actinopteri, Semionotiformes, Lepisosteidae.